Molecule: ribosomal RNA, 253 nt
Filed under: uncultured bacterium
Lineage: Bacteria
Description: partial 16S ribosomal RNA
Rfam family: Bacterial small subunit ribosomal RNA
Source: RNAcentral
UACAGAGGGCGCAAGCGUUGUUCGGAUUCAUUGGGCGUAAAGGGUGCGUAGGUGGCGAGGUUAGUCAGGUGUGAAAUCUCGGGGCUCAACCCCGAAACUGCACUUGAUACUGCCUUGCUAGAGUACUGGAGAGGAGAUUGGAAUUUACGGUGUAGCAGUGAAAUGCGUAGAUAUCGUAAGGAAGACCAGUGGCGAAGGCGAAUCUCUGGACAGUUACUGACACUGAGGCACGAAGGCCAGGGGAGCAAACGGG